Non-coding RNA from Peromyscus maniculatus bairdii (prairie deer mouse), 612 nucleotides. NCBI's taxonomy places the organism in Eukaryota, Metazoa, Chordata, Mammalia, Rodentia, Cricetidae. The record is from RefSeq and is a predicted model, not a curated record.
CUGCCUUUUGUGGUCAAUUACGAUAAAAUCAAAGCGAUGACUCGGGGAGCUGAUGAGAAUCUGGCCUUCAUUUUUCACUUGCUGAUCUGAAACUGUGAUUGACAGAGAAGGGUGGAGAUAUCAGUGCUGAUUGCUAGAACACAGCCCUAAAGGAUAGAGGUUCCAAUCACUGGACUCAGGCUUGGUGAACUUGCUGGCACUAACAACUCCUGACAACGGAGGAGGCCCAGGAUUUGAAGUCCCCUGCUCACCCCACCCCCUACGCCAUUAUUCUCACCAAACCCACGAUGACACUGUAGUGGCUGCUGAACUCUCGGGCAGAAUCCUUCCCUGGCAUUAGAAGCAGAGUGGUUCUAUGCAGCCUGCGGAGGACAGGCUGAUCUGAACAUCUGUGAACCCCCAGAUCCUAAGACUCUGGAUGUUUCUGGAUGUACAUUCAUGGGAACCAACGAGAUCAGCUUCUAAGGGCCAGAUAGUGUGGCACAUGGAGUACACGUGAGGAUCUGUGGAUGGGACACCUGCAAACAUCAAGGCUUGUAUGCUCAGUCUGCAUGGUUCACAUGCCCAGCCCAACCUCCAAGGCACAAGCCAGUCCAGGAAGCUUCAAUAAAG